UAUAUAGUUUUCAUGCAUAUAUAAUAUUAUACGUACGUACAAACAUAUUAUACACACAUAUCCAGUAAUUAUAUUAAGCAUACAAGUAAGCAACAAUCUAUCAAAAUUAGACCGGCAAGUCGCUGAAAGUUCGCAGAAAAUAUGCCUAAAAGAAGAAAGUAGAUAUAUUAAUUAAAGUAGUUACAUAUAUACCAAUUAGCUAAGAGAUCGAGAUCGAGAUAGAGGCGCGCAGCUCUUCAAGAUCGAUCAACUUCAUGAAGAAAAGCUUCCAAAACUAGAUUUGGAUUGGAUGAAUAUUCCAAUGAGGGGGAGGGGAGCUAGACCAUGCCUUUCUUCUACGUUCUCUUCUGGGCGAAAGGUGUAUAUGUUAUAGCCCGGAAUUUUUAGAUGCUAGUUUCUUUUAUUUUUAUUCGGUUGACUUUUUGGCUGACUUUUAAGAGGCUAAAAGUUGACUUUAUUUUUCGUAAGUUAUCUUCGAAAACUUCCUUCAUGAAAGUUGUAGAGUUUAUCAAUACGAGUUCGUAGACAUGCGGCACGCUUGAAACGGAGGUCGUAUGAAAAAGUUACAGUCAGAGGAAGUUAGUUUCCGAUUUUGAAAGGUAUAUAAAUAGAAAGUGGUGGGUUUUAUUUUUGGAAACCUAGCAGCCUCACUUUCUCUCUCCUCUCUCCCGACCUCCUCCCGCACUCAAACUUCUCCGGAUCGGUUCUCCUCCGUCCGGCCACCAUUUGGACCACCCCCAGUCUCGUUCGACUCACACGGACGCCCCCUUCAAUUCUGGGCUGGUGUGACGCGGCGUAGCAAGCCAGAGACGGAGCUCUUGGCCGGAGAAGAGGACGGUUGUGUCACCGAUCGGAACCGCCGUUUGCGGCGGCGACGAGGGGCAACCCUAGGUGAGUUUUGGUCCUCUCCUCCUCCUGGUAGUGUCUAGGCAAAGAUUGAAGCAAGUUUUUGAGGUUUUGAGGCCGGUUUUGCAGGUUUGAGGUGUGAUUCCGGGUUAGGGUU
Molecule: long non-coding RNA, 1003 nt
Filed under: Fragaria vesca (wild strawberry)
Lineage: Eukaryota; Viridiplantae; Streptophyta; Magnoliopsida; Rosales; Rosaceae
Description: long non-coding RNA (FVES_LNC004635)
Source: RNAcentral